Molecule: ribosomal RNA, 400 nt
Filed under: uncultured bacterium
Lineage: Bacteria
Description: bacterial SSU rRNA
Rfam family: Bacterial small subunit ribosomal RNA
Source: RNAcentral
GAAUAUUGGACAAUGGGGGAAACCCUGAUCCAGCGACGCCGCGUGAGUGAAGAAGGCCUUAGGGUUGUAAAGCUCUUUCGCCGGGGAAGAUGAUGACGGUACCCGGAGAGGAAGCCCCGGCUAACUCCGUGCCAGCAGCCGCGGUAACACGGAGGGGGCUAGCGUUGUUCGGAAUGACUGGGCGUAAAGCGCGCGUAGGCGGUUCGGUAAGUAGGAUGUGAAAGCCCGGGGCUCAACUCCGGAUGGGCGUUCAAGACUGCCGAACUUGAGACCGAGAGAGGAGAGUGGAAUUCCCAGUGUAGAGGUGAAAUUCGUAGAUGUUGGGAAGAACACCAGUGGCGAAGGCGGCUCUCUGGCUCGGUUCUGACGCUGAGGUGCGAAAGCGUGGGGAGCAAACAGG